RNAcentral lists this ribosomal RNA (491 nucleotides) under uncultured bacterium. Its description in RNAcentral is "partial 16S ribosomal RNA". It matches the Rfam family "Bacterial small subunit ribosomal RNA", at positions 29 to 506 of the family's 1533-position model. The record is from RNAcentral.
AGUGAACGCUGGCGGUAGGCCUAACACAUGCAAGUCGAACGGCAGCACAGUAAGAGCUUGCUCUUACGGGUGGCGAGUGGCGGACGGGUGAGGAAUACAUCGGAAUCUACUUUUUCGUGGGGGAUAACGUAGGGAAACUUACGCUAAUACCGCAUACGACCUACGGGUGAAAGCAGGGGAUCUUCGGACCUUGCGCGAUUGAAUGAGCCGAUGUCGGAUUAGCUAGUUGGCGGGGUAAAGGCCCACCAAGUCGACGAUCCGUAGCUGGUCUGAGAGGAUGAUCAGCCACACUGGAACUGAGACACGGUCCAGACUCCUACGGGAGGCAGCAGUGGGGAAUAUUGGACAAUGGGCGCAAGCCUGAUCCAGCCAUACCGCGUGGGUGAAGAAGGCCUUCGGGUUGUAAAGCCCUUUUGUUGGGAAAGAAAAGCAGCAGGUUAAUACCCCGCUGUUCUGACGGUACCCAAAGAAUAAGCACCGGCUAACUUCGU